Molecule: long non-coding RNA, 974 nt
Filed under: Marmota monax (woodchuck)
Lineage: Eukaryota; Metazoa; Chordata; Mammalia; Rodentia; Sciuridae
Source: RNAcentral
GUAUUGUCACAGAGAUAGGAUUAAGGUAUCAUUUCACUGUUAUUAAAAUUUACUUUGGAAAGGAUCAAUACUUGUCCUCUUCCCAGCAACUGAUGGUUAUCUCCUUCUCAGGGGAAGGAUCAAUGUUUUGGCUUCUCCCUCCCACUCUCCUCCCAGGCCACACACUGUCUUGGGGAGUUGUCAUUGCAGGCUGUCAUUUCCAUAUCCUUCAACCAAGGCCACAGAUAUGGAGCUACACAAGCCCUUUGGAAAAAACAUCAAGAUGCCAUGUACCCCAGAUGCCAGACAUGGAGCUAUAGCACUUGUUUGCACAGAUGGAUUUCAGUCUUGCUUUGGUCCUAUCUCUUCUUUCUACAUCCCUUAUUUGUGAAUGGAAAUGUUUACUCUGUACCUUUAUAUACUGGAUACUUGUAAAUUGCUUUUAAUUUUAUAGGAGCUCACCAUGCAAGAUUGCCUUGAGCCUCAGAGAAGACUUAGGACUUGAACUUUGAGCAAUCUCAGAACUAUUGAGACUAUUGGGGACUCUUGGGAAUGAACUAACUGUAUUAUGCAUUGUCAGAUGAGUGUGGGAUUUUGGGGGCCAGGAUGGAAUGUUAUGGUUUACAUGUGGUGUCCCCCAAAAGCUCACAUGUAAGACAAUGAGAGAAGGUUCAGAGGAGAAAUGAUUGGGUUGUGAGAGUCUUAACACAAUGAAUGAAUUAAUCCCCUGAUAGAGAUUAACUGAGUAGUAAGUGAAGUGGUGGGGUGUGGCUGGAGGAGGUGGGAAUUGGGGGCGUGGCUUUGGGUUUCAUAUUUGUAUCUGGCAAAUGGAGACCUCUCUCUCUGCUUCCUGAUCACCAUGUGAGCUGAAUCCCACUGACACACUCUUCCACCAUGAUGUUCUGCUCACCUGGAGCCCUGAGGAAUGGAGCUGGCCUUUUAUGGACUAAGACCUCUGAAACCAUGAGUCCUCAAAUAAACUUUUCCUCCUAAAA